AGCACAGAAGGAGGAAGGACAGCACAGCCUACAGCCGUGCUCAGGAAGUUUCUGGAUCCUAGGCUCAUCUCCACAGAGGAGAACACGCAGGCACAGAGACCAUGGGGCCCCUCUCAGCCCCUCCCUGCACACAGCGCAUCACCUGGAAGGGGCUCCUGCUCACAGCAUCACUUUUAAACUUCUGGAACCUGCCUACCACUGCCCAAGUCACGAUUGAAGCCCUGCCACCCAAAGUGUCUGAGGGGAAGGAUGUUCUUCUACUUGUCCACAAUUUGCCCCAGAAUCUAGCUGGCUACAUCUGGUACAAAGGACAACUGAUGGACCUCUACCAUUACAUUACAUCAUAUGUAGUAGACGGUCAAAUAAAUAUAUAUGGGCCUGCAUACACUGGACGAGAAACAGUAUAUUCCAAUGCAUCCCUGCUGAUCCAGAAUGUCACCCGGGAGGAUGCAGGAUCCUACACCUUACACAUCAUAAAGCGAGGUGAUAGGACUAGAGGAGUAACUGGAUAUUUCACCUUCAACUUAUACCACCCUGCUCCAGCACAGGCCCAGUGAGAGAGACACACUCGGGAGCUCUCACAUAACAAAUGAAGGAAUGGAAUGAAGAAAUGAAUGAUCCAAAACCUCUUAGGGACUGGAUGUUGGAUGCAGAAUCCUAGGAGGUUCUAGCCACACCUGUCCCUUGUCCUUCAGAGGCUGACACCCAUGUUUCAUCCCC
This 720-nucleotide small RNA is filed under the name Pan troglodytes (chimpanzee). Its description in RNAcentral is "processed transcript". The record is from RNAcentral. Lineage: Eukaryota; Metazoa; Chordata; Mammalia; Primates; Hominidae.